GGACAUUAGGGGUUGAAGGGAAAAAUGGUAAGUACAUCAAAAUGUACUCUACAAGCGUAGGAGGUAGAGGUAUUGUCGGUGUUUAAACCCGGCAACCUACCAAGGGGGAUUCCCGAGGUAGUGUUUUGGUUAAUGGGGCUCGUCGAGAUCAGAAAUUCGAAGGUAAAUGCAGACACACAAUUUAGAUAGGUUCAAGCUACUAGAUUAGGUAAUACCCUACGUCCUGUGUGUUGGUUGGAUGGAAUUGCUUUGGAGGGGAUCCUUGCCUCACCUUUAUAUUGCCAGGGGUAGGAUUACAGGUCGGUUGGUCAUAUUACUACGAGUAUUUUCUAAUCCUCGACUAGUUCCUGUCUUUCCAUGUAGACUACACCGUCAUGCGCCAUAGUCUCCAUGUCAGAUACGUCUUGAUGUCAUAUUUAGGACUGUCCAAACCUUCUGGUGGGCCUAUAGAUAUAUGUACAACAAGCCGUUGAGUACUUUUUAG
RNAcentral lists this long non-coding RNA (484 nucleotides) under Setaria viridis. RNAcentral's name for it is "long non-coding RNA (SVIR_LNC008043)". The record is from RNAcentral. Lineage: Eukaryota; Viridiplantae; Streptophyta; Magnoliopsida; Poales; Poaceae.